RNAcentral lists this non-coding RNA (184 nucleotides) under bacterium. RNAcentral's name for it is "6S RNA". It matches the Rfam family "6S / SsrS RNA". Rfam says of the family: E. coli 6S RNA was the first non coding RNA to be sequenced, but its function was unknown until recently. It consists of 184 nucleotides that fold into an extended hairpin structure with a large single-stranded internal bulge. The 6S RNA specifically associates with RNA polymerase holoenzyme containing the sigma70 specificity factor. The record is from RNAcentral.
GAGCCUCUGCGACGUUGGUGCACGCUGGGCGAUUAUUGAGCCAACACCUUCUUUAAGGGAGCUUUACAGCCAAUGUGGAUGACAUGCCCCAGAAGACGAGGGGAUUUCAGAAGCACUGGUGCGGGCACCCACCUUGUUUUGGAAGGUUCAAUAGAGUCAGCUGCCACGGCGAAGCGGAGGCUCG